Molecule: long non-coding RNA, 1429 nt
Organism: Hirundo rustica (Barn swallow)
Lineage: Eukaryota; Metazoa; Chordata; Aves; Passeriformes; Hirundinidae
Exons: 3
Source: RefSeq, a predicted model, not a curated record
CUCACAGAUGUCACCUCUCUGGUCACCUGCCUGUGCCUCUGGUGCUCCAGCAGGAAGGAUUGGGCUGAUGAUGGAGCGGAAGGAAAAGAAAAAAAGUGCAGCUCCUCUCAGUUAUCCCGCUUUGGGACAGGGGGCACAGAUGAAGAGCGAGCAAUCAACACGUCAGGAUAAACUUACAUUGCCACGGAGCACAAGGGCCCAGGAGAAGCCAAGAGCCAAGAGGUGGGGAAAUGUGAGCCCGGUGCAGGCACGGCCACCCCUGACUCCUGUCCUGCUGGAUUCCAUGAAAGCCUUUUCCCGACUCCAUAACUGCCUCGCAGAGGGACUCACCAGCACGGCUGAGGUCUGCGUGGAAUUUUGGGGAGGAUAUUGAGUCCGUUCUCCUCCUGAACCCUCAGGCGCUGCAAUUUGUACCGCGGUGAAUCCUGCGCCGUCGGAUCGCCCCGCUAAGGGCAGGCCUUGGUUCGGACUGAUUGAGGAUAAAAUCCAUUUUCUCUGGGAGUAAAAACGUCGAUAGGCACACGCUCAGAGGCUGCUGUAACCCUUGUGGCACACCUGAUCCCCCCUGUAAGGAGUUUAACCUGGUUCUGCUCGGCCCCAGCGCCAGGACCCGUGUGAGGAGCAUGCCCUGCGCUCUUCCAUCCUCCUGCCAGCAUGUUUCAAAUUAACGCUGCAAUCUCUGAAAUUAAUGAGUUUUCAUCGACCUCGGUGGAAGUGGAUCGGCUCUGAGGCUGCCAGCCCACCCCACCGGCGCUUCACUGAAAUGGUUCAGCGACUUUGAGGCAGGAUUCCUGCCCUGGGAGCGCCUCCAGAACUCGAUAAAGGCUCCCCCAGUGCCCUGCUGCUCCCACAAAGAGGCUCCAUGAUGACAGGCUUCAUUUGUUCUGCGGUAACUCCAGGCUGUUUUGAGCUCCUUUCUCUGCUCCUUUAGCUCAAGCAACCAGUCUAGGAAGCUCUUAUUAGCCCAGGGUUUCCUGAGAGAGGAAGUCCAGCACCUGCUUUUCCCAAAGCCCUAAACGGGGUUGGACAAAUCUGAUUUCCUCCAUUACCAUAACGAGGCAUCUCGAGCAAAACAAUAUUAUUACAGCAGCUCACAGGUGAUGGAGAUGUUCCCAGCCUCUGUAAAUUGGGGUUUUUUUUCUGUGGAAAGCACUGUGAGUCUUGAAGAGGGAGAGUCAAAAAUUGCUGGGGAGACCCUGAGCUCAACCCUGUGGUCCUAGACCACAUUCCCACCCAUGGAAGUACCUUGGAGAGGCUUUUCCAUGGCCCCACACGGUGUGGUUGGAUGGAACAAGACCCAUCACAGACCCAGCCGUACCUGUGCCCCAGCAGUUGGGCUGGGCUGGGUUUGGCUGGGCUGGGCUGAGCUGAUCUGGGUUUGGCUGGGCUGGGUUUGGCUGGGCUGAGCUGGGCUGAUCUGGGUUUGGCU